CACAGUAUGCCUAGGGGGCACAAACCAGUGCAGAGGGGGUGAAACAGAGGAAAUUCACUUUUUUCUCAAGCUGAAGCCACACACCAUAGGCCAACAAUUCCUCUUGGACCACAAAGGAGGGUACACCUCAGGCUAUGAUCUGAUGAGAGACACAUGAGGAGUCUCAGAGGAGACCUUAUUGCUUUCUCCAGCUACCUGAGAGGAAGUGGUUGGGAGCUGGGGGUUGGCCUCUUCUCACAGUCAUAAUCAGGAGUGCAUCUAUGCGUGCUUUGAGUGAAAAGGAUACAGAACACAUCUUAUCUUGCAGGGAGAUAAGGACCUCCAGUAAAGGGAUUCCUUCAUCAUCAAUGGGACAACACUAUCUGGGACACCCAAAAAGCCUGAAGGAAACUAUCAGCCCUUUAAAUGUGAAUAAGACUGAAAAUAUGAAGCAAGCAUCCUCAAAACGUGGGGAAAAAAAUGUGUCAGAAUGAAAAACAAAAAUUCCAAAAUUUCACUUACAAGAUCAUUUUUUUAAGCCUGGACACCCAAGGCUGGCCAUAACAGUGCAGAUAUGUAUACCCAUGGAGUGGGCAAAAGUCUGUCCAUAUCA
Anas platyrhynchos (mallard) is the source of this 592-nucleotide long non-coding RNA. RefSeq lists it as uncharacterized. Lineage: Eukaryota; Metazoa; Chordata; Aves; Anseriformes; Anatidae. The record is from RefSeq and is a predicted model, not a curated record.